GGCCACUUGGCGCAAUGGUAGCGCGUUCGACUCCAGAUCGAAAGGCUACGCCUUCGGUCCUCUCAUUGGUCA
This 72-nucleotide transfer RNA is filed under the name Angiostrongylus costaricensis. It matches the Rfam family "tRNA". From Rfam's summary of the family: Transfer RNA (tRNA) molecules are approximately 80 nucleotides in length. Their secondary structure includes four short double-helical elements and three loops (D, anti-codon, and T loops). Further hydrogen bonds mediate the characteristic L-shaped molecular structure. tRNAs have two regions of fundamental functional importance: the anti-codon, which is responsible for specific mRNA codon recognition, and the 3' end, to which the tRNAs corresponding amino acid is attached (by aminoacyl-tRNA synthetases). tRNAs cope with the degeneracy of the genetic code in two manners: having more than one tRNA (with a specific anti-codon) for a particular amino acid; and 'wobble' base-pairing, i.e. permitting non-standard base-pairing at the 3rd anti-codon position. Lineage: Eukaryota; Metazoa; Nematoda; Chromadorea; Rhabditida; Metastrongylidae. The record is from Rfam by way of RNAcentral.